AAUAAUGUGUGAUGAAAAACAUGGAUUUGCAUAUUCUUGUGCCCUAUAGGUAAUGAGGAUUUUUUUCCAUGCCUGCCUUCCUUCUGACAUUAUU
Biomphalaria glabrata is the source of this 94-nucleotide non-coding RNA. Lineage: Eukaryota; Metazoa; Mollusca; Gastropoda; Planorbidae. The record is from Rfam.